Molecule: long non-coding RNA, 886 nt
Organism: Erigeron canadensis
Lineage: Eukaryota; Viridiplantae; Streptophyta; Magnoliopsida; Asterales; Asteraceae
Exons: 5
Source: RefSeq, a predicted model, not a curated record
GAAAAUCAAAACCCUAACUCUCCGCAAAACCGUCAUUCGUUUGAUGAAAACUUAUAAUAGUAUUGUCAUGAAUGGUUCUUUAAUUUGAUUUCUGCUUGGUCCGGUUAACUUUUUCGAUGCUGAUUUCGAUUUCGAUUGCGAUGUCGAUGAUUUGAACAAGAAACUGGGAGGGUUUUACGUCAACAGCCAACAUUCUUUCUUUUUCUAUAUAUUUCAUUAAAAAUAUACGUAUAUAUCUAUUUCAGGUCCGUUAAUAUAGGCUGCCUGGAGUUCAAUAUUUUGGUAGUAUCUUGUUAUCAUUAACGAGGGAAUUUAUGAUGUCAGUUAUCACCUUGUGCUUUUCAAAUUAGGAGAUGCGGGGUAGCGUGCUUUAUACUCACGUCGUCAUGCGGGUAGUUUCAUCGUCUAUAGUUCUUGAGCCUCUGCUUUGUCAUUUUCAUCUACCUUGAUCUUUUGUGUGCUUUUGCUUACAAGUUUGAGAAUUUGAACAACGUGUUUCUCGGUGCUUCUUGAUUUUAUUCCUGGUCUUUUGCUUGCAUGAGUUUUGUUCCCAUCGUAGGUCAAUUUUGAGUUUAUGAUAGACACUUACGGUAGUAAGCUACAUAUUGUGACUCCAGAUUCUUCAGAUUGUUCUGUUGGCUGUUAUUAAAAGAGGUGGACAUUGGAUCAUAGUUGCACAACAACUGGAUGGUUAUUUUUGAUAUAUUGCUAUCAUCAAGUCAUAAGAUAUAUGAUGUCAGGUUCUCAGGUUUAAUAAUUUGUAUUUCUGACUUUUAUUGUUUUUCUGGGGUUAUUUUAUGUUUUCGGUGUCUUACACUUUUACUUAAUUACCAAAUACAUUGUUAAACUGUGUAUGAAGAAUAAAUUGUCCUCCCCUAUAUGUCAA